This is a long non-coding RNA of Oncorhynchus keta (chum salmon), 4507 nucleotides long. RefSeq lists it as uncharacterized. Lineage: Eukaryota; Metazoa; Chordata; Actinopteri; Salmoniformes; Salmonidae. The record is from RefSeq and is a predicted model, not a curated record. The transcript has 3 exons.
CUAACAGAUACAGUGAGGGUAUAGUCUACAGCUAACAGAUACAGUGAGGGUAUAGUCUACAGCUAACAGGUACAAUGAGGGUAUAGUCUACAGCUAACAGAUACAGUGAGGGUAUAGUCUACAGCUACCAGAUACAGUGAGGGUAUAGUCUACAGCUACCAGAUACAGUGAGGGUAUAGUCUACAGCUACCAGAUACAGUGAGGGUAUAGUCUACAGCUAACAGAUACAAUGAGGGUAUAGUCUACCAGAUACAGUGAGGGUCUAGCUACCAGAUACAGUGAGGGUAUAGCCUACAGCUACCAGAUACAGUGAGGGUACAGCUACCAGAUACAGUGAGGGUAUAGCCUACAGCUAACAGACACAGUGUGCCUACAGCUAACAGAUACAGUGAGGGUAUAGUCUACAGCUACCAGAUACAGUGAGGGUAUAGCCUACAGCUACCAGAUACAGUGAGGGUAUAGUCUACAGCUACCAGAUACAGUGAGGGUAUAGUCUACAGCUAACAGAUACAGUGAGGGUAUAGUCUACAGCUAACAGAUACAGUGAGGGUAUAGCCUACAGCUAACAGAUACAGUGAGGGUAUAGCCUACAGCUACCAGAUACAGUGAGGGUAUAGCCUACAGCUAACAGAUACAGUGAGGGUAUAGUCUACAGCUAACAGAUACAGUGAAGGUAUAGCCUACAGCUACCAGAUACAGUGAGGGUAUAGUCUACAGCUAACAGAUACAGUGAGGGUAUAGUCUACAGCUAACAGAUACAGUGAGGGUAUAGUCUACAGCUAACAGAUACAGUGAGGGUAUAGUCUACAGCUAACAGAUACAGUGAGGGUAUAGUCUACAGCUAACAGAUACAGUGAGGGUAUAGUCUAAAGCUAACAGAUACAGUGAGGGUAUAGUCUACAGCUAACAGAUACAGUGAGGGUAUAGUCUACAGCUAACAGAUACAGUGAGGGUAUAGUCUACAGCUAACAGAUACAGUGAGGGUAUAGCCUACAGCUAUCAGAUACAGUGAGGGUAUAGCCUACAGCUACCAGAUACAGUGAGGGUAUAGCUACCAGAUACAGUGAGGGUAUAGUCUACAGCUAACAGAUACAGUGAGGGUAUAGCUACCAGAUACAGUGAGGGUAUAGUCUACAGCUACCAGAUACAGUGAGGGUAUAGCCUACAGCUACCAGAUACAGUGAGGGUAUAGUCUACAGCUAACAGAUACAGUGAGGGUAUAGCCUACAGCUAACAGAUACAGUGAGGGUAUAGCCUACAGCUACCAGAUACAGUGAAGGUAUAGUCUACAGCUAACAGAUACAGUGAGGGUAUAGUCUACAGCUACCAGAUACAGUAAGGGUAUAGCCUACGGCUACCAGAUACAGUGAGGGUAUAGCCUACAGCUAACAGAUACAGUGAGGGUAUAGUCUACAGCUAACAGAUACAGUGAAGGUAUAGCCUACAGCUACCAGAUACAGUGAGGGUAUAGUCUACAGCUAACAGAUACAGUGAGGGUAUAGUCUACAGCUAACAGAUACAGUGAGGGUAUAGUCUACAGCUAACAGAUACAGUGAGGGUAUAGUCUACAGCUAACAGAUACAGUGAGGGUAUAGUCUACAGCUAACAGAUACAGUGAGGGUAUAGUCUACAGCUAACAGGUACAAUGAGGGUAUAGUCUACAGCUAACAGAUACAGUGAGGGUAUAGUCUACAGCUACCAGAUACAGUGAGGGUAUAGUCUACAGCUACCAGAUACAGUGAGGGUAUAGUCUACAGCUACCUGAUACAGUGAGGGUAUAGUCUACAGCUAACAGAUACAAUGAGGGUAUAGUCUACCAGAUACAGUGAGGGUCUAGCUACCAGAUACAGUGAGGGUAUAGCCUACAGCUACCAGAUACAGUGAGGGUACAGCUACCAGAUACAGUGAGGGUAUAGCCUACAGCUAACAGACACAGUGUGCCUACAGCUACCAGAUACAGUGAGGGUAUAGUCUACAGCUACCAGAUACAGUGAGGGUAUAGUCUACAGCUACCAGAUACAGUGAGGGUAUAGCUACCAGAUACAGUGAGGGUAUAGCUACCAGAUACAGUGAGGGUAUAGUCUACAGCUACCAGAUACAGUGAGGGUAUAGUCUACAGCUACCAGAUACAGUGAGGGUAUAGCCUACAGCUACCAGAUACAGUGAGGGUACAGCUACCAGAUACAGUGAGGGUAUAGCCUACAGCUAACAGACACAGUGUGCCUACAGCUACCAGAUACAGUGAGGGUAUAGUCUACAGCUACCAGAUACAGUGAGGGUAUAGUCUACAGCUACCAGAUACAGUGAGGGUAUAGCUACCAGAUACAGUGAGGGUAUAGCUACCAGAUACAGUGAGGGUAUAGUCUACAGCUACCAGAUACAGUGAGGGUAUAGUCUACAGCUACCAGAUACAGUGAGGGUAUAGUCUACAGCUAACAGAUACAAUGAGGGUAUAGUCUACAGCUAACAGAUACAGUGAGGGUAUAGUCUACAGCUACCAGAUACAGUGAGGGUAUAGUCUACAGCUACCAGAUACAGUGAGGGUAUAGUCUACAGCUAACAGGUACAAUGAGGGUAUAGUCUACAGCUAACAGAUACAGUGAGGGUAUAGUCUACAGCUACCAGAUACAGUGAGGGUAUAGUCUACAGCUACCAGAUACAGUGAGGGUAUAGUCUACAGCUACCUGAUACAGUGAGGGUAUAGUCUACAGCUAACAGAUACAAUGAGGGUAUAGUCUACCAGAUACAGUGAGGGUCUAGCUACCAGAUACAGUGAGGGUAAUACCUACAGCUAACAGAUACAGUGAGGGUACAGCUACCAGAUACAGUGAGGGUAAUACAUACAGCUAACAGAUACAGUGUGCCUACAGCUACCAGAUACAGUGAGGGUAUAGUCUACAGCUACCAGAUACAGUGAGGGUAUAGCUACCAGAUACAGUGAGGGUAUAGCUACCAGAUACAGUGAGGGUAUAGUCUACAGCUACCAGAUACAGUGAGGGUAUAGUCUACAGCUACCAGAUACAGUGAGGGUAUAGUCUACAGCUACCAGAUACAGUGAGGGUAUAGUCUACAGCUAACAGAUACAAUGAGGGUAUAGUCUACAGCUAACAGAUACAGUGAGGGUAUAGUCUACAGCUACCAGAUACAGUGAGGGUAUAGUCUACAGCUACCAGAUACAGUGAGGGUAUAGUCUACAGCUAACAGAUACAAUGAGGGUAUAGUCUACAGCUAACAGAUACAGUGAGGGUAUAGUCUACAGCUACCAGAUACAGUGAGGGUAUAGUCUACAGCUAACAGAUACAAUGAGGGUAUAGUCUACAGCUAACAGAUACAAUGAGGGUAUAGUCUACCAGAUACAGUGAGGGUAUAGUCUACAGCUAACAGAUACAGUGAGGGUAUAGUCUACAGCUACCAGAUACAGUGAGGGUAUAGUCUACAGCUACCAGAUACAGUGAGGGUAUAGUCUACAGCUAACAGAUACAAUGAGGGUAUAGUCUACCAGAUACAGUGAGGGUCUAGCUACCAGAUACAGUGAGGGUAAUACCUACAGCUAACAGAUACAGUGAGGGUACAGCUACCAGAUACAGUGAGGGUAAUACAUACAGCUAACAGAUACAGUGUGCCUACAGCUACCAGAUACAGUGAGGGUAUAGUCUACAGCUACCAGAUACAGUGAGGGUAUAGCCUACAUAAUGAGAUUAUUAUGGACAAAAAAAGCUGUUGUCUUUACGACAUCGAUGACCGUGUCACCAGAAUAACCUUACCGAGUGGUGCAGCGGUGCAUCUCAGUGCUAGUUGCAUUACUACAGAUCUCGGGCUGUAUCACAACCGGCCGUGAUCCUGGAGUCCCAUAGGGCAGUGCACAAUUGGCCCAGCGUCGUUAAGGGUUGUGGGAGGGUUUGGCUGGGGUAGGCCGUCAUCGUAAAUAAGAGCUUGUUGUUAACUGACUUGCCUAGUUAAAUAAAGGUUCAAUUAAAAAACAUUUGAAAUAAGACCCCUGAUAUUAAUUAUGAAGGAGCAUCGAGCUUCAAGCAGCCACUUUCACCAUCCUGUAAAGUUCAUCGUAACGUAUUUCAUCUGGAGCCUGAUAAACUGCAUGCUUGCCACAAUCGUAAUGAGUUGAACACACAAUAUCAUCGCGUGAUUUUGAUGUGAUGAUUAUUAUAUCAAUAUUUCAUUUCCUGCAUAAUUAAUUUUACAGACACAAAAACAGCUCACCUUGUGUAGCGUAAUUUGUUUUGUCGACAUUUGGAAAGUUUACCGACCAGUCUCUUUUUUUCCAGCCGUCACUCUUUGUUUCUACCUGUCUCUCUCUCUACCUCUCCCUCUCUCUCUACCCACAACCACCUGCUCCUCCUCUGUAUUUUUCAUCCUCUUCUCUCUUUUCUCCUCGUUACUCUGCCUUCAUCUGUCACUUCCCCCACCUCCCUCUGUCUCCUUCAUGUUCCAAGAAUCUCAUGAAAAGAAGUGACAAAUUACUUCUCUCUCUCUACACCCCCCCCCCCCU